RNAcentral lists this ribosomal RNA (293 nucleotides) under uncultured bacterium. RNAcentral describes it as "partial 16S ribosomal RNA". It matches the Rfam family "Archaeal small subunit ribosomal RNA", at positions 455 to 747 of the family's 1478-position model. The record is from RNAcentral.
GUGCCAGCCGCCGCGGUAACACCGGCAGCUCAAGUGAUGGCCGAUUUUAUUGGGCCUAAAGCGUCCGUAGCCUGCCGUACGGGUCCGUCGGGAAAUCCGCCCGCUCAACGGGCGGACGUCCGGCGGAAACCAUACGGCUUGGGACCAGAGGACCCGAGGGGUACGUUGGGGGUAGGAGUGAAAUCCCGAGAUCCUCAACGGACCGCCGAUGGCGAAAGCACUUCGAGAAAACGGAUCCGACAGUGAGGGACGAAAGCUGGGAUCUCGAACCGGAUUAGAAACCCUAGUAGUCC